RNAcentral lists this ribosomal RNA (206 nucleotides) under uncultured bacterium. Its description in RNAcentral is "partial 16S ribosomal RNA". It matches the Rfam family "Bacterial small subunit ribosomal RNA", at positions 568 to 774 of the family's 1533-position model. The record is from RNAcentral.
CGCGCAGGUGGUUUCUUAAGUCUGAUGUGAAAGCCCACGGCUCAACCGUGGAGGGUCAUUGGAAACUGGGGAACUUGAGUGCAGAAGAGGGAAGUGGAAUUCCAUGUGUAGCGGUGAAAUGCGUAGAGAUAUGGAGGAACACCAGUGGCGAAGGCGGCUUCCUGGUCUGUAACUGACACUGAGGCGCGAAAGCGUGGGAGCAAACA